Felis catus (domestic cat) is the source of this 4007-nucleotide long non-coding RNA. RefSeq lists it as uncharacterized. The transcript has 10 exons. NCBI's taxonomy places the organism in Eukaryota, Metazoa, Chordata, Mammalia, Carnivora, Felidae. The record is from RefSeq and is a predicted model, not a curated record.
GGGGUUUGUGUUAGAAGGACAUUAAUAUGAUUGAAUCAGGGCACUACCCUUAUGCCCCCAUUUAACCUUCUCACACUCCAAUCCCACAUUGGGGAUUAGAGCUUCAACAUAGGAGUUUGGGGGGGAUACAAGCAUUCAGUCCAUAAGCCUGCCAAACAAAUUAUCACAACUUUGCAGCUUAAAACACACUCAUUUAUUACUCCACAGCUUUUUAGAUAAGUACAGACAGUUCGACUGGAUUCCCUGCUCAGGGUCUCAUCAGGCUGAAGUCUAAGGUGUUGUCUGGGUGGGUGUCUCAUCUGGAGGCUGUGGGGAGGAGUCUAUUCAGAUUCAGAUCUGUGUGGCCAUAAAGUGGAGGGCUUCACUUUCUUUCUGGCUGUUGCUUGAGAGCAACUCUCAGUCCCUGGAGGACACUCAUAGUCCUUGGCAUGUGGCCCCUUCCAUAUUUAAAGCCAGCAGUCACUCCUGGGCUUGAAGUCUUUCACUUCCUCAUCUGUUACCAGCCAGAGAAAACUGCUUUUAAAGGUCUCAUGUGAUUCGAUCAGGCCCACCCAGACAAUCUCCCUUUUGCCAUAUACGAUAACAUCGCAUCACCAUAGGAGCGAUAUCUCCUCACAUUCGGAUUCCCUGCACCCUCAAAAGGAGGUGACUGUACAGAGGUGAAGGUCAUUCUUAGAACUCUGCCUACCAUGCUCUCACAGAAGAGAUUGUGCGUUUGGAUGAAGCUUCAGCCCGUGCCAAUGAGGUUCCAUCCUCUUGUGAUCUUCCCUCCCUGCCUGCCAGUUGAUGAGAACUUCCAUCUGCGCCCAUGAAUUUGAGUCUGCCCAUGAACUUCCCUUCCCGACAGCCUGUGGAUCUCAGACUUGCUUAGCCAACCCCACAUUUGUGAAAGUCAAUUUCCUAUUUGCCUCCUUCUAGGUUAUCUGCCCAUCCACCCAGACCACCACUUCCAGCAGGUUAAGCUGAGGGCUUUAUCACCUGAGCUGGGGAUGCCCCGAGGCAAGAAUGCCACUGAAUCACCAAACUGGCCCAACUCAGUGGAAGUUUUCAGGAGUAAACACUUCUCAAGUUUUUGUCUACCUUUGGUUAUUUUCCGGUGACUUGAAAUGAUUAUUUUGAUGAGGUUGUUCAGUUUUACACUUAUUUUUGUGACGGGCGCUCACCUGAUCUUCUCACACCGCCAUUACUGGAACAUUUGCUCCUGGAACCCAAUCUCUGUGCCAUAAAGAAGCAUAGGGACCAUGCUUUGCUGCCGAAUCGCCCCAGAGUUUGAGUCUUCCCAGUAGAGGUCCCAGACACUGUGGAGCAGAGACGAGAGACCUCGGUUGUACCCUUUCCAGACUCCUGCCUUGAGGAUGUAAUAAAAUGGUCUUUGUUACUAAGUCUCAGGUGAUUGGUCAUGCAGCAAUAAGUUGAGUAGCUUAGUAUGGCGCUUCGCACAUUUUUCAUAAAGCAAUGGGCAUCUGGAGAUAGGACUGCAGGCUCCUUUUCUAACGUCAUUUAAUAAGGAAAUCAGAUUCCAUUUUGCAUGUUUCUCUUACAGCAUUGUCUUCAAUAUAGAACCUACUUGCCUGAAUGCUUUGUAGAGUUAUAUUGCCACUCCGUUUGAUUUGUAAUACAAAUCCGACUUGUUCUCAAUACUACUGAAAAAUCCAAAGGAAGAGAACAUGUUUUCAAUUAUUUGUGAAACAUCUUCAUUUUGCUGGAAAGAAUUACUCCAAAAUUCAAGUCUAAUUUUUGCCCCAGAAGAUCUGUUGUAGGAAAGAAUGUCCUGGGCUGGGAAACCAAAAACCCUGGACUGGAGUUUGAUUGCAUGACCCUGGACCAGUCACAUCAAUUCUGAUGCUUUCAUUACAAGGGCUUCCAAGUUCAGGUACAGAACAAUGUAAAAUGCAUAACUUCAGCUGCAGCCGUUAUUCCAGAGUUCUGAAGAGCAGCCAGCAGAAAUUGGUCAAGAGUCCAUUUGGCCCACACCCUCCACCCGUCUACCACAGAGGCGGACUGCUCAUAGAACACAUCACAGAAUGCUUUAAAUGUUCUGCCAGUUUUCAGCUCUCACAAAGCAAGUUGUGAGAGGAAAUGGAAAACAUGACGGCAGUUUGGUGGACUACAACAGGAAGCAGGAAGCAGCCACUUUUUGAGCAUUCCCUCCAGCAACGAUUAAAGUAGAAGCAGCAAAGCUGUACAAUACAAUACAGCCCUCUGCCAGCAGAUCUGUUACUAAAGGAAUUCAUGCAUCUUGCAUCUUGAAGAUGCAUUAUUAAUGCCUGGACAAAUCACAUCAGGUGAAACGCAGCAAGUCCCUGGCACUGAAAAAAAGGAACAAAGGCUGGUUCUACAAGAGAGCGAUGGAUGAGACAAAUUAUAACAGCUGGGAGUUUCUUUGAUUAUUUAACCCUGCCCAGACGGUGUUGGACCUCAGAGCGAUAGAUGGGUCCAGAGCCCUCCCUGUAGGUGAACAAAUGAGAUGGUGUGUCCUUCCUGCCUUGGACGCUGGCUGGGUGUCGUUCUCCGCGUGCCGACUUCAGCAGUAUGUUCUGCAGAGUGCCACAUGGAAGAUGAAUCUCGGCUGAGGAAUGUUCGGUUGUGGCAACUUGGCCUCGUGAUAUAGCUGCAUCCCUAUAGGAACGGGGGAAAGAUCCUCCCCAUCAUCAUUCUUCUGUGAAUAUGUUAGAGUGCUGGACGUCGAGUAGGUGCGCAGAAAACUUUUGCUUUAAUGAAUGAAAGAACGAAUGAAGAUUCACUUAAGGUGGUAUCACAAUCUACGUGUAAAUGGAAUGAAGAAAGUGGAGGUUGAUCUUUGUCAUCUAUUGUCAUUGUUCCUUCGUCUGGAAGCUGUAGAAUCUGCAUAGAAUCCCAGUGACUUUAAAACAGAAGAUUGCAGGCAAUGAGGCCUCUCACUGUAUUGCAUUUAGAGGGCACCAACUUUGUGCCUAGAGCGAUGCUAGAUGCUGGACAAGCAAGAGAGAAAAGGUCUAGCUCAUGGGAUCCUGAUGUGCCUGAACAGGUGUGUAAAAAGGAGUCUCCUGUCUGUACCUUGUCCCACAGGAUUAGAGAAUGGAAGUCACAUGUGGAGGUGAGCACAGUAAAGGGGCCAGCCUGAAUGUUGCUCUGUGUCUUGUCCCUAGACCACUUUUCUGCUCAGCCAACAAAAAAAGCAAAAGCAAAAAAGGCCCACUUGCAACAUUGGCCCCAGACGUUCCUAUGAUAGCAGAGACUGUGGAUGUGUGUGUGAGCCACGGCACUGUUGUCAGUGGGAGUUGGCAGCCUGGCCCUUGCCUUUGGGGCUGGCAGCAACAGGAGAGGUGGAAGAAGGUGGGAGUCACAGAGAAUCCAAGAGGCCAAGAGUCACAUGGAAACCCCUGCCCUCUGGGGGCCUCUGAAUUGCUUUUGGAGAACUUUAGACUGCUAGGGUUCUGGGAUGGAGAAAAAAGCCAGGGAACAAUGAUUUGUCACAAUUUUUGUGACCUCAAUUUUAUGACCCCAACAACCCUGUGAAAGAGGAUUUGGGGUUUUUAUUCUCAAGACACAGAUGAGGAAACAGAACUGGUAAGGCGAUUGAUUUGGGGCUCAAACCCAGACUGGCUUCAGAGUCCUUUUUUUUCGUGUUUUUAAACAAAUGGUCCUCAUGUUAGCAUUGUGCAUCACAGGGCAUAAAUAAUUAAUACUUGGAAAUUCAUCUAUAAACACAAAGAAUCCGUCUACAACCAUGAUAGAGCCUUCCCUGAAGUGGUUAGUCUAGAAGUUUGAACACAGUGGGUGUUCAAGAGAUUUUUAAAGAUCUAUUCAUUGGAAUGACCUAGUCAGAUUGGCCAAGGCAGGUGCCUAAAUUCUCUUCCUCUAUUCAGGGCAACAAUGGCACCAGGGGUCUUUCAGGCCACUAAUCCCUUCCUGGGUCAGUGAGCUUCAGCUUCAGGCUUCUAUUCCCUGUAUCUUGUGAGCUUGACCUUGUGAAGACCCAGAAGGAAUGUAAAGUCACAUACUUUUUCUAUAGUGGGUCAAUUUUC